ACCCUGGCAGUGGCGGACGGGUGAGUAACGCGUAGGAAUCUAUCCGUUGGUGGGGGACAACCGUGGGAAACUACGGCUAAUACCGCAUGAUCCCUGAGGGGCAAAGGCGAGAGUCGCCUGAGGAGGAGCCUGCGUCUGAUUAGGUAGUUGGUGGGGUAAAGGCCUACCAAGCCUGCGAUCAGUAGCUGGUCUGAGAGGAUGAUCAGCCACAUUGGGACUGAGACACGGCCCAAACUCCUACGGGAGGCAGCAGUGGGGAAUAUUGGACAAUGGGCGAAAGCCUGAUCCAGCAAUGCCGCGUGUGUGAAGAAGGUCUUCGGAUUGUAAAGCACUUUUGGCAGGGACGAUGAUGACGGUACCUGCAGAAUAAGCCCCGGCUAACUUCGUG
This 388-nucleotide ribosomal RNA is filed under the name uncultured bacterium. Its description in RNAcentral is "bacterial SSU rRNA". It matches the Rfam family "Bacterial small subunit ribosomal RNA", at positions 86 to 507 of the family's 1533-position model. The record is from RNAcentral.